GCAUAUCAAUAAGCGGAGGGAAAAGAAACCAACAGGGAUUGCCCCCAGUAACGGCGAGUGAAGCGGCAAGAGCUCAAAUUUGAAAGCUGGCUCCUUCGGGGUCCGCAUUGUAAUUUGUAGAGGAUGCUUCGGGAGCGGUCCCCAUCUAAGUGCCCUGGAACGGGACGUCAUAGAGGGUGAGAAUCCCGUAUGGGAUGGGGUGUCCGCGCCCGUGUGAAGCUCCUUCGACGAGUCGAGUUGUUUGGGAAUGCAGCUCUAAAUGGGUGGUAAAUUUCAUCUAAAGCUAAAUAUUGGCCGGAGACCGAUAGCGCACAAGUAGAGUGAUCGAAAGAUGAAAAGCACUUUGAAAAGAGAGUUAAAAAGCACGUGAAAUUGUUGAAAGGGAAGCGCUUGCGACCAGACUCGCUCGCGGGGUUCAGCCGGCAUUCGUGCCGGUGUACUUCCCCGCGGGCGGGCCAGCGUCGGUUUGGGCGGUCGGUCAAAGGCCCUCGGAAGGUAACGCCCCUAGGGGCGUCUUAUAGCCGAGGGUGCAAUGCGACCUGCCUAGACCGAGGAACGCGCUUCGGCUCGGACGCUGGCAUAAUGGUCGUAAACGACCCGUCUUGAAACACGGACCAAGGAGUCUAACAUCUACGCGAGUGUUCGGGUGUCAAACCCGUGCGCGAAGUGAAAGCGAACGGAGGUGGGAACCCUCACGGGUGCACCAUCGACCGAUCCUGAAGUCUUCGGAUGGAUUUGAGUAAGAGCGUAGCUGUUGGGACCCGAAAGAUGGUGAACUAUGCCUGAAUAGGGCGAAGCCAGAGGAAACUCUGGUGGAGGCUCGUAGCGGUUCUGACGUGCAAAUCGAUCGUCGAUUUGGGGUAUAGGGGGCAGAAAGACUAAUCGAAACCAUUCUGGGUAGCUGGGCUUCCCUGCCUGAAAGU
RNAcentral lists this ribosomal RNA (923 nucleotides) under Penicillium goetzii. Its description in RNAcentral is "LSU rRNA". It matches the Rfam family "Eukaryotic large subunit ribosomal RNA", at positions 38 to 968 of the family's 3401-position model. The record is from RNAcentral. Lineage: Eukaryota; Fungi; Ascomycota; Eurotiomycetes; Eurotiales; Aspergillaceae.